Molecule: long non-coding RNA, 504 nt
Organism: Eutrema salsugineum
Lineage: Eukaryota; Viridiplantae; Streptophyta; Magnoliopsida; Brassicales; Brassicaceae
Exons: 2
Source: RefSeq, a predicted model, not a curated record
UAUUUUUUUUUAAAAAAAUUUUCUCUCAAAAAUCGAAUUCUCACACAAAUUUUUUUUUUUCUCUCAUCGACAUUCUUUGUAGACAUUUUUUUUCUCUCCUUAUGCGGAGAAAUCGAAAUCCUAUGUGUCUGUGAUUUCGAAAUUGAAAUCGAAAUCAUGCAUGUGGAUUCGAACAGAGACAUGGUGUGGAAGCUCUUCAAAUUUUGUGGAAGCUCUUAAAAUCAAUCUGAAAUCUGUCUCAUGGAUACUUUGCUAUUUAAGAGAGGAUGAGAUAAAGGAAGACAAGAAGAAGAAGAGAGAGAGGAGAGGAAGAAGGAGCUGAAGAGAGAGACGAGCAAAGGAACGAAGCAGAUGCUGUUUUAUGUAAACUCAAUUUUGGUUUGGCAUAUCUUGUGAUGCCACCAAAUGGAAAGAAAAAAAAAGUUUUUUAAAACCUUGAACCCCUGAAAGAUUCAACUAUUGGAGAUGAAUUAUUUGCAAAACUAAAAUGAGGUUGUUAAUUUA